RNAcentral lists this ribosomal RNA (465 nucleotides) under Vreelandella stevensii. RNAcentral describes it as "partial 16S ribosomal RNA". It matches the Rfam family "Bacterial small subunit ribosomal RNA", at positions 338 to 795 of the family's 1533-position model. Lineage: Bacteria; Pseudomonadati; Pseudomonadota; Gammaproteobacteria; Oceanospirillales; Halomonadaceae. The record is from RNAcentral.
CCUACGGGGGGCAGCAGUGGGGAAUAUUGGACAAUGGGGGCAACCCUGAUCCAGCCAUGCCGCGUGUGUGAAGAAGGCCCUCGGGUUGUAAAGCACUUUCAGUGAGGAAGAACGCCUGGUGGUUAAUACCCAUCAGGAAAGACAUCACUCACAGAAGAAGCACCGGCUAACUCCGUGCCAGCAGCCGCGGUAGUACGGAGGGUGCGAGCGUUAAUCGGAAUUACUGGGCGUAAAGCGCGCGUAGGUGGCUUGAUAAGCCGGUUGUGAAAGCCCCGGGCUCAACCUGGGAACGGCAUCCGGAACUGUCAAGCUAGAGUGCAGGAGAGGAAGGUAGAAUUCCCGGUGUAGCGGUGAAAUGCGUAGAGAUCGGGAGGAAUACCAGUGGCGAAGGCGGCCUUCUGGACUGACACUGACACUGAGGUGCGAAAGCGUGGGUAGCAAACAGGAUUAGAUACCCUAGUAGUC